GAGGGCACAGCUCAGUGGUAGAGCUCUUGCUUAGCAUGCACAAGGACCUAGGUUCAAUCCCCAGUACCUCCG
RNAcentral lists this transfer RNA (72 nucleotides) under Camelus bactrianus (Bactrian camel). It matches the Rfam family "tRNA". Rfam says of the family: Transfer RNA (tRNA) molecules are approximately 80 nucleotides in length. Their secondary structure includes four short double-helical elements and three loops (D, anti-codon, and T loops). Further hydrogen bonds mediate the characteristic L-shaped molecular structure. tRNAs have two regions of fundamental functional importance: the anti-codon, which is responsible for specific mRNA codon recognition, and the 3' end, to which the tRNAs corresponding amino acid is attached (by aminoacyl-tRNA synthetases). tRNAs cope with the degeneracy of the genetic code in two manners: having more than one tRNA (with a specific anti-codon) for a particular amino acid; and 'wobble' base-pairing, i.e. permitting non-standard base-pairing at the 3rd anti-codon position. The record is from Rfam by way of RNAcentral. Lineage: Eukaryota; Metazoa; Chordata; Mammalia; Artiodactyla; Camelidae. RNAcentral also lists the same sequence under 2 other names.